This 85-nucleotide transfer RNA is filed under the name Altererythrobacter sp. Root672. RNAcentral describes it as "tRNA-Val". Lineage: Bacteria; Pseudomonadati; Pseudomonadota; Alphaproteobacteria; Sphingomonadales; Erythrobacteraceae. The record is from RNAcentral.
GAGCGCGUUCCAGCAUUUCGCGAUUCAACUGAGCACACCCUUCACACGGGUGGGGUCGCAGGUUCAAUCCCUGCCGCGCCCACCA